Molecule: ribosomal RNA, 253 nt
Filed under: uncultured bacterium
Lineage: Bacteria
Description: partial 16S ribosomal RNA
Rfam family: Bacterial small subunit ribosomal RNA
Source: RNAcentral
UACGGGGGGGGCAAGCGUUGUUCGGAAUUACUGGGCGUAAAGCGUGCGCAGGCGGUGAUGUAAGACAGGUGUGAAAUCCCCGGGCUUAACCUGGGAACUGCAUUUGUGACUGCAUCGCUGGAGUGCGGCAGAGGGGGAUGGAAUUCCGCGUGUAGCAGUGAAAUGCGUAGAGAUCGGGAAGAACACCAGUGGCGAAGGCGGUCUGCUGGGCCGUUGCUGACGCUGAGGCGCGACAGCGUGGGGAGCAAACAGG